Long non-coding RNA from Sapajus apella (tufted capuchin), 2890 nucleotides. RefSeq lists it as uncharacterized. Lineage: Eukaryota; Metazoa; Chordata; Mammalia; Primates; Cebidae. The record is from RefSeq and is a predicted model, not a curated record. The transcript is spliced from 3 exons.
GGGCCGCUCACCUGGCGGCUCACCUGGCCGCCGCCCUCACCCCCGCGAGCGCGGCGCCGUCCUGGCCUGAUCCCCGGAGGCGCGGAAGGCGCGGGCGUCGCGGCGGGGAGCGGGGCGCGGGGCGCGGGGCGCGGGGAGCGGGGCCCUCCACCUGCAGCCCGGCUCUGGCUCCCGGCGGCGGUCGGCGUGGCCGGGAUGGAGCCUGUGACGUGCACGGUGCUUCGGGUUCCCGCACUUGGAGGCUGCAGCCGGGCCGGGGGGAAGAGUCAGCCUCGCAAAGUUGUGGAGGUGCGGGCUCCCCGGCACCCAGGCCCGGAGCCGGCUCUCCCGGGGAAAGGCGCGCCUCCUCCACCUUCGGGCGGCGGGGAAGGGCCCUGGGCAGCCCUGCGGCGGCCUCUGCCCGAGGGAGGCGCCGGCCCGAGGCUGGCUACCGGAGAGGAGGAGGAAAUCCCGCUCGCUCCUGGCCUGGUAACAAUGGGGGUUGUUUGUAACAGCUGCUGAAAGGGUUCCGAGCAGCUUUUAAAACAGUGUGUGCGUCCCGGUCCGCUAGGAAGGGUUCUGUGGCGGGGGAGGGAGGGGAAGGGCAGGGAGCAGCCGCGUGAAUCGCCCCGCGAGGGUCGUCUCCGCGCUCGGUUCUCUCGGCUGCUGCGCAGACUUUAACAGCACAAAAAACACUUCGCUCGGGAUUUGUGCCCGCUUAGGAAAUCAUUUUAAUAGCGCCUAUGUUUAAUACUUGCUAAAAUAACCAGCUCCUAGGGAACAAAACAUGUUUGGCAAAUUUGGACAUUCCUAGGAAAUUUAGUCCCUUUAUCAUUAUAUUCCACUUUAUAUUUUUGAGAACAUUGGACUGUUGCUUGUCUGAUUUCUUGAUUUUUGCCAGUCAUGGGAAGGAUUCCAUUUCUUCUGUCUUCAUCUGUACCUGUGACUACACUUGACAUGGGUAGCUAGCCAUUUGUCUUAAUCCUUAGUUGAUGCUGAUACAUGUCAUGAGGCUCAGGUUGCCAGUUUGAGCAUACAUAUUAUAUUAUGUUAAGUUACUCCUGAUUCAUUCAUCUUCUGUAAUGAUUUUAUCAGUUAGGUUUUAGUAACCAAGUUAGUACUGUGUACUUAAGUGUUUGUUCAUAGACUAUUUAGUAUGUCUUCAGUAAAGUGACAUGAUAAUUUAGUUUCAGGAUUAUGUUUUCUUUCGGAAUAGUGAGUUCAUUUUUCUUUUUAUCACAAGAUUAAAAAAAUUGACCAUAAAACAUUUUCUUGGUACAUAGUUGUUUUUUGUUUGUUUGAAUGGAUUUUUUUUUUUUUUUUGAGAUAUUUCUCUAGUCUGGUGAAAAGGAGUCUUUUUUCAGUUUUAUAAAGAUAAUUCAGCUUUUUGGUAUCUUGAAUUAGCAUUUAAAAAACUCAAAUCAGAAACAUAGUUCAUUGAUUUAAAUAAGUUCUAUUUUAAGCACUCAAUUGAAACUUUUUCUUAGUGAUAUGACUAGUUAUUUAAAUCGGUCUGUCAUUUGGAAAGCGAUUUUUUCAGUUGCAUUAUAAGUGAAAGUUUGUUGUGCACAUAUAUUGAAGCAAAGCAAGAAUUGGAGGACUUAAAACAAAUUAUUUCAUUAACUAUUUUUCCCCUACUUAUAUCUGAACAUUUUUAUUUUUAGAAAUUAUUCUUCAGAAUUGUAUUAGAAGCCUUUUAUAAUGAAUUGUUUUUUAAUAAUGUCUUUUUUUUUUUAAGCUUUUUCACUAUAUAGUGGCUGGCUGACACUUUCUGUUUUGCUUUCUGGGGAACCUUCUUGUGCUAUUUACAUUUAUUCUGGUCCUAGUUAAGCUUUACAUUUAACAUAUUGUAUCUUUCAUUAUGAUGUAGAUAAAUUUAUGAGUAAUUCUCUAAACCAAUAUUUCAAGGCAACAGUUUCAAUUUGCUUUUUCUAAGCUCACGUGAAUUUUUUUUUUCUUUUAACCAUCUAGUGAUUAUUUUUACUGUAUUUGGCCAUCACUAAUCCAAUUUUUUAGUUUUCUGCAAGAACAAAAGCAUUGUGCUGGUCCUUAUCAGAUGUUAAGUAAAUGUUGAACAAAUUCACUACAGAAGUUGAUUUGUAGAAAUAAGAUUUAAGCCUUGUAUUUAUUUACUUGGGUAAUCUUUUUAUGUGUCUGAGAGUAUAGCUGUGGGGUUUUUUUUGUUUGUUUGUUUUUGUAGAGUGAUAAGUAUCUAUUUUCAGAUUUUAUAACUUCAUUAAUCAUCUGUGAUUGGUGGUUUCAGGCAGCUUUGAUAACCACUGAUAAUUUUGUGGUUUCUGUGUGUAGGAAGAUGAUAAACUUGGUUCUUUGGAUUACAUUCUUUUUUUAAGAAAAUUAGAGUAUGUUUUAACAUUCUGGCUAAGUUUGCUUUUUCCUUCAUAUUCAUGUUUGUAUGUAAAAGAACGGCUUCCAAAGAAAAAGACUUAUCACUGGAGUGUUUUUCAGCCUGUCACUUGGAUCCUAGAUUCAUUUGGAAUUCAUAAAAUGAGAGUUGAUCUAAACCUAAUGUUAUUUUAUAACCAGGAGAUUGAUGCUAAGCUAACUUAAUGUCUUGAUUACUGUGAAAAGCUGUAGCUCGCAGAAGCUCUUUAAAAUAUGUAUAGUCCCUUCUUUGCUUAUUUUUAAUGUUACGGCUUGUUUUCUUUUAGGGAUUCCUAAUUAAUUAUGACAUCAGAGUCCUUUUAAUCUUUCUGUCACCUCCUCAGAAGAGGGUGUCUCUGGUUAUCCAAAGGUCUCCCUGUUGUUGUUUUUAAGAGGUGGGGUUUCACCUUGUUGACCAGGCUGGUCUCGAACUCUUGACCUCCGGUGAUCUGCCCGCCUGGGCCUCCCAAAGUGCUGGGAUUACAGGCGUGGGUUACCACUCCCGGCCCCUUCUUACUUUGGAUACUAA